Molecule: ribosomal RNA, 468 nt
Filed under: uncultured bacterium
Lineage: Bacteria
Description: partial 16S ribosomal RNA
Rfam family: Bacterial small subunit ribosomal RNA
Source: RNAcentral
GACGAACGCUGGCGGCGUGCUUAACACAUGCAAGUCGAACGGAAAGGCCCUGCUUUUGUGGGGUGCUCGAGUGGCGAACGGGUGAGUAACACGUGAGUAACCUGCCCUUGACUUUGGGAUAACUUCAUGAAACUGGGGCUAAUACCGGAUAGGAGCUCCUGCUGCAUUGUGGGGGUUGGAAAGUUUCGGCGGUUGGGGAUGGACUCGCGGCUUAUCAGCUUGUUGGUGGGGUAGUGGCUUACCAAGGCUUUGACGGGUAGCCGGCCUGAGAGGGUGACCGGCCACAUUGGGACUGAGAUACGGCCCAGACUCCUACGGGAGGCAGCAGUGGGGAAUAUUGCACAAUGGGCGGAAGCCUGAUGCAGCAACGCCGCGUGCGGGAUGACGGCCUUCGGGUUGUAAACCGCUUUCGCCUGUGACGAAGCGUGAGUGACGGUAAUGGGUAAAGAAGCACCGGCUAACUACGUG